GUCCCUCAAAUUACCACUUCUCACUUUGAACAAAAUUCUUUUUUGCUUCCUUUCUUUCUUUAGCGUCUUCAGUUGUGCUGUUAUGGCUGCCAUAAUGUCCUGAAUCAAUUGAAAAGAUUUAUCAUUCAUGGUCAUUUUCACUUUGGAGAAGAGACAGAAAUUGCACAGUUCCAGAUCCAAUUAAUAAGGCUCAGAAGAACAUGGAUCUAGAUUCACUACAAG
Molecule: long non-coding RNA, 222 nt
Filed under: Fukomys damarensis (Damara mole-rat)
Lineage: Eukaryota; Metazoa; Chordata; Mammalia; Rodentia; Bathyergidae
Description: lncRNA (ENSFDAG00000031801.1)
Source: RNAcentral